Molecule: ribosomal RNA, 1360 nt
Filed under: metagenome
Description: bacterial LSU rRNA
Rfam family: Bacterial large subunit ribosomal RNA
Source: RNAcentral
UGAGUACGAGAUGCUACGGCAUCGAAGCAGUCUAUGUCAUACUUCCAAGAAAAGCUUGCACUGUCAUAAACAAAGAAUGCCUGUACCAUAACCGACACAGGUGGGUAGGUAGAGUAUACUAAGGUGCGCGAGAUAACUCUCUCUAAGGAACUCGGCAAAAUGACUCCGUAACUUCGGGAGAAGGAGUGCCUUAUUUAUAAGGUUGCAAUAACAAGAUCCAAGCAACUGUUUACCAAAAACACAGGUCUCCGCGAAGUCGUAAGACGAUGUAUGGGGGCUGACGCCUGCCCAGUGCCAGAAGGUUAAAGAAGUUGGUUAGCAUUCGCGAAGCUGAUAACUGAAGCCCUGGUGAACGGCGGCCGUAACUAUAACGGUCCUAAGGUAGCGAAAUUCCUUGUCGGGUAAGUUCCGACCCGCACGAAAGGCGUAAUGAUUUGGAUACUGUCUCGGAGAGGGGCUCGGCGAAAUAGACUUGUCUGUGAAGAUGCGGACUACCUGCACCUGGACAGAAAGACCCUAUGAAGCUUUACUGUAACUUGAAAUUGAAAUUGGACUUUAUUUGCGCAGUAUAGGUGGGAGGCGUUGAGAAUAACCUUGCGGGGUUAUUGGAGCCAUCAGUGAGAUACCACUCUUGUAAUGUUAGAUUUCUAACUUUGUAUCAUUAUCUGGUCAAAGAACAGUUUCAGGCGGGCAGUUUGACUGGGGCGGUCGCCUCCCAAACGGUAACGGAGGCGCACAAAGGUUUCCUCUGAACGGGUAGAAAUCGUAUCUAGAGUGUAAAGGCAUAAGGAAGCUUGACUGUGAGACCUACAAGUCGAGCAGGGACGAAAGUCGGUCUUAGUGAUCUGACGGUGCUGAGUGGAAAGGCCGUCAUUCAACGGAUAAAAGUUACUCUAAGGAUAACAGGCUGAUCUCCCCCAAGAGUUCACAUCGACGGGGAGGUUUGGCACCUCGAUGUCGGCUCAUCGCAUCCUGGGGCGGUAGUACGUCCCAAGGGUUGGGCUGUUCGCCCAUGAAAGCGGUACGCGACCUGGGUUUAGAACGUCGUGAGACAGUUCGGUCCCUAUCUUUCGUGGGCGGAGGAUACUUGAGAGGAGUUGUCCUUAGUACGAGAGGACCGGGAUGAACGCACCACUGGUGCUCCAGUUGUCUUGCCAAAGGCAUAGCUGGGUAGCUACAUGCGGACAGGAUAACCGCUGAAAGCAUCUAAGCGGGAAGCCCCCCUCAAGAUUAGGUAUCCCGUUCCAGGCUUCGGUCUGGACCUAAAGACCCCUUCUAGACUAGGAGGUUGAUAGGCUGGAGGUGGAAGCGCAGCAAUGCGUGAAGCUGACCAGUACUAAUUGGUCGUGUGGCUUGACCU